This 87-nucleotide transfer RNA is filed under the name Alphaproteobacteria bacterium. RNAcentral's name for it is "tRNA-Leu". It matches the Rfam family "tRNA". Rfam says of the family: Transfer RNA (tRNA) molecules are approximately 80 nucleotides in length. Their secondary structure includes four short double-helical elements and three loops (D, anti-codon, and T loops). Lineage: Bacteria; Pseudomonadati; Pseudomonadota; Alphaproteobacteria. The record is from RNAcentral.
GCCCCUGUGGCGGAAUUGGUAGACGCGACAGACUCAAAAUCUGUUGUCCGCAAGGGCGUGCUGGUUCGAGUCCGGCCAGGGGCACCA